RNAcentral lists this ribosomal RNA (513 nucleotides) under uncultured bacterium. RNAcentral describes it as "bacterial SSU rRNA". It matches the Rfam family "Bacterial small subunit ribosomal RNA", at positions 15 to 518 of the family's 1533-position model. The record is from RNAcentral.
GAUCCUGGCUCAGGAUGAACGCUAGCUACAGGCUUAACACAUGCAAGUCGAGGGGCAGCAUGUGGUUGCUUGCAACCAAUGAUGGCGACCGGCGCACGGGUGAGUAACGCGUAUCCAACCUUCCCUAUAGUAGAGGAUAGCCCGGCGAAAGUCGGAUUAAUACUCUAUGUUUUCCAAUGCAGACAUCUAAAAUGGAACAAAGGUUCACCGCUAUAGGAUGGGGAUGCGUCUGAUUAGAUAGUCGGCGGGGUAACGGCCCACCGAGUCGACGAUCAGUAGGGGUUCUGAGAGGAAGGUCCCCCACAUUGGAACUGAGACACGGUCCAAACUCCUACGGGAGGCAGCAGUGAGGAAUAUUGGUCAAUGGGCGAGAGCCUGAACCAGCCAAGUAGCGUGCAGGAUGACGGCCCUAUGGGUUGUAAACUGCUUUUAUACAGGGAUAAAGUGACGUACGUGUACGUUUUUGUAGGUACUGUAUGAAUAAGGACCGGCUAAUUCCGUGCCAGCAGCUGC